Molecule: ribosomal RNA, 445 nt
Filed under: uncultured bacterium
Lineage: Bacteria
Description: partial 16S ribosomal RNA
Rfam family: Bacterial small subunit ribosomal RNA
Source: RNAcentral
GUGAGGAAUAUUGCGCAAUGGAGGCAACUCUGACGCAGCCAUGCCGCGUGCAGGAAGAAGGCGCUACGCGUUGUAAACUGCUUUUAACCGGGAAGAAACCCCAGGACGUGUCCUGGGUUGACGGUACCGGAGGAAUAAGCACCGGCUAACUUCGUGCCAGCAGCCGCGGUAAUACGAAGGGUGCAAGCGUUAUCCGGAUUCAUUGGGUUUAAAGGGUGCGUAGGCGGAGCGUUAAGUCAGUGGUGAAAUCCUGCAGCUUAACUGUAGACUUGCCAGUGAUACUGGCGCUCUUGAGUGCGCUUGAAGUGGGCGGAAUGUGCCGUGUAGCGGUGAAAUGCUUAGAUAUGGCACAGAACACCAAUUGCGAAGGCAGCUCACUAAGGCGAUACUGACGCUGAGGCACGAAAGCGUGGGGAUCGAACAGGAUUAGAUACCCCAGUAGUCC